AAUAUUGGACAUUGGGGGGAACCCUGAACCAGCCAUCCCGCGUGUGCGACGAAGGCCUUCGGGUUAUAAAGCACGUUUGUUUGGAAAGAAAUUGCAUAGGAUAAUACCCUGAGUGGAUGACGAUACCGGCAGCAUAAGUACCGGCUAACUACGUGCCAGCAGCCGCGGUAAUACGUAGGGUGCAAGCGUUAAUCGGAAUUACUGGGCGUAAAUCGUGCGCAGGCGGUUCGGAAAGAAAGAUGUGAAAUCCCAGGGCUUAACCUUGGAACUGCAUUUUUAACUACCGGGCUAGAGUGUGUCAGAGGGAGGUGGAAUUCCGCGUGUAGCAGUGAAAUGCGUAGAUAUGCGGAGGAACACCGAUGGCGAAGGCAGCCUCCUGGGAUAACACUGACGCUCAUGCACGAAUGCGUGGGCAGCAAACA
Molecule: ribosomal RNA, 422 nt
Filed under: uncultured bacterium
Lineage: Bacteria
Description: partial 16S ribosomal RNA
Rfam family: Bacterial small subunit ribosomal RNA
Source: RNAcentral